This 252-nucleotide ribosomal RNA is filed under the name uncultured bacterium. Its description in RNAcentral is "partial 16S ribosomal RNA". It matches the Rfam family "Bacterial small subunit ribosomal RNA", at positions 526 to 779 of the family's 1533-position model. The record is from RNAcentral.
CGGAAGGUCCGAGCGUUAUCCGGAUUUAUUGGGUUUAAAGGGAGCGCAGGCGGGGCUGUAAGCCAGCCGUGAAAUGUCGGGGCUCAACCCCGGCCCGCGGUUGGAACUGUGGCCCUUGAGUGCGGGAAGGGAGAGCGGAACUCGUGGUGUAGCGGUGAAAUGCAUAGAUAUCACGAAGAACUCCGAUCGCGAAGGCAGCCCUCCGGCCCGUCACUGACGCUCAUGCUCGAAGGCGCGGUAUCAAACAGGAUU